UGAGACAUCUAAGGUUGCAUUCUACAAGGCUGGCUUCGGAUGCUGAAUCUGACCUACAUUUUUUUCUGGAUGAGUGAAAAGGUUAAAUUUUUAUGCAGGUUUCAUUUAUAAGUAACUAUUAGCCAUAUGUUGUGCAAACUCGCUUGGAUGAUACAUCUUAGUAUGCAUACUAAUGGACUUGCUCUGGAUGCUGAAUUCGACAUACAUUUCUAGAUAAUGGAACAGGUAAAAGUUAUGGGUGCAUGUCUAUCACCAAGAAGCUAUAAGGCUUAAAUAAACCAAACUUGCCCAAAUGAUGCAUCAAGGGAUGAAAACUCUUAGACUAGCUUGCUUCAGAUGCUGGAUUUUGAUCACAUUUUCGUGAUGAAGAACUAGUUUGAAGUUUUUAUAUAGGUCUCCAUGUAUUCCAAAGUUUUAGAUCAAAAUUGCAUAAAUUUUGCAUUUUUGGAUGUACACUUUUUGUUGGGUAAUUUUGUAACUUUGCCUUACUUAAAGACAACAUUCGUUGAGGUGAGCUUUGUAAUCUCUGAUUACCUAUGUUUUUUGUUCCGCAACGCUGGGUAUUAAGUAACCAAACUAAGCAAUUGCUCAGUGUAUACAUGUAGUUAUGAUGAGCUAUGGCGCCUCCUUAAAAAUUGUGAAUGUCAUGGCGUCUAGUUUAAAACAUUCAUGAACAAAAUUCAGUCAGUGGAAAAUUGUUGCAUGAUGCGCAGGUGGCAUAUAAGGCCAAUAUGGGCCUCUUGUUUAAAUUUGGAAAAUGAAACAAGACUGGGUUAGUCAAUUGAAAGGUUGAGGCAUCUGGGAAUAUUGUCUAUAAGACAGAUAUUGGUUGCUGUAAAUUUACAUAUUUCACUGAAUAUUUCUUGGGAGUCUUAACAUGUUUUACAGCAGCUUUAAUGAAGCGUUUAAUUUCGCUCUAGUUGAUUGAUUCUUUACCAUUAAUUUUUAAUGUUGUGUCUCGAAUAGCCAUUUUUUCUCACAAGGAAAAUGUGAUAAAAAGUGAUCACACAAACUCAUAUCAAAUCAUUAAAGGUUCAUUCAUGAUAGAAAGUCAAGCUUGAUGUCAUAUGAUUUGUAUGUUGUAUGCCACAGAGUUUAAGACAUAAUUUUUUGAAUUCGCGGUCGCGGCUGAAAUUCGAACUCACCACCUCCCGAUCGCGGAGCGAGCGCUUUACCGAUUAAGCUACAUGUACCGUGAACUGUCCACCAUAAAUCAUAUGGCGCCCACAAGUAACAUUUCUUUUGAAAAUAUCCAUUUAAAAUUUUUGGAGAAAGUUUUUCAAAUGACAAAUUGUAUCAAAUCUUGUAUUACCAUUAAGCCUUAUAUCCCCUCCGUAACUGGUAGAAGACGUGCAUUAACCCAACUGAACACAUUGUCGAGACACUUCCCGCUUCAAGUUUCAUAUUAAAAUUGUACUUCUGUAAAGAUAUUUCCUCAAUAUUACUCAGACCAUGGCUUCUUUACGUUGGUUAAUAUGUUUGUUUUGCAUUGCAUUUGUAAAAGAAUGUGAUGCACUGAGGAUUCGUUAUUCAUAUUAUCGCUCCUACUACUAUUACUCCAACUAUUAUACUUACUACUACUACGGGUAAGACUCUACUACAAGUGUUGGAUUAUAUGUUGGAAUUGUCUUGGGGAUCGUAGCCUUUCUUACUCUUGUCUUUUUUGUGAUCUGCUGCGUCUGCUGUCGAAGAAGACAGAACACUACCGGUAUGGUACUCACUAACCCAUCAACGCAGCAGACAGUGAUAACAUCAAAUCUUUCUGCUGGAGAUCAAUGUCCCCCAACUUCAAAUCAAAACAACAUUGCCCAGUACAAUACAGCAUUUCAGUAUGGAAUGGGAGCCCCUGGUCAAAGUUUUGACAAUUCGUCUGCUCCAAGGAACGGUGAACCCGCACCAUCUUACGAAUCUGUGGUAGGUCAAGAUGGACCUAUUCCAUCUUCCUACACCAUGCAAGAAAGCUUUCCGGACACAUGUUCUGUACCAUACAAAACAUGAAGCUGUGAAACAAGUAUAAAACUUUUAAUUUUGUUCAGCGAAUCUAUGUCACAUUUUCUUAUAUUUCAUUAUAAUUCUGAAAUUUCAUUUUUUAUAAUUAGCUUUCAAUAUUUCUGACUAAAGUAAAACACAAUGGAUAAUUCAGCAAGUACCUUGAAUUUGUUUAACUUGAGUACUGACAAGUUCAUAUUGCCGAUAUACAGCAUAUUGUGUGCAUUUGAGAGUUAAAUAUUAUUGUACAAUGUAUAUGGUUUUAAGCACUGGUUUAAGCACUGAUUGUAAUGUUAAGUCAUAAUAAAAAGUUGCAGUGACUUUUAAGAAUACAUGUACUCCAAACAAUUCUUUUCGUGAAGUUAAAAUACUAUAAAUUAUAGCGGGAUUAAUACGUGCAUGUAAUAUGAAGUUCUAUACUGUAGUUGUUGGAAAUAAAGAAUAAAAUGUCGUUCUACUUACGAAA
RNA transcript from Saccostrea cuccullata (small rock oyster), 2455 nucleotides. RefSeq lists it as uncharacterized. The record is from RefSeq and is a predicted model, not a curated record. Lineage: Eukaryota; Metazoa; Mollusca; Bivalvia; Ostreida; Ostreidae. The transcript has 4 exons.